Molecule: long non-coding RNA, 876 nt
Organism: Populus euphratica (Euphrates poplar)
Lineage: Eukaryota; Viridiplantae; Streptophyta; Magnoliopsida; Malpighiales; Salicaceae
Exons: 3
Source: RefSeq, a predicted model, not a curated record
CGCCCAGUGGUAGAAUUAGAAAGCAAAAUCACAUGGCAGGGAAAGCAGCAUGCACGUGAUGAGGAAACUUAGCUAUCUACCUGUACAUAAUUAAAUAUCAAAUUUGAAUACGAUUCUUAAUUACAACCCAAAAGCGUGCCAUCCACCCCUCCCCUUCCCUUCCCUUUGUCGUCUAAUUAACGACUCUCACACCAAGGAAUUAAGAGAGUGCAUAUGAUCUUCAUUUUUAUACUAGCUACGUAUUACUAGACCACGUACGUGUGGGACACGUGUACACCGGAAGGUUGUGUUAGUGGGAAGUGGGGUGGCUCUCUGGGGCGCCUCUAUAUAACCAACCUCAAUCUUCAACUCUCUAUGCAUCGCAGAACAUAUUAGCACCACGAAGAAGAAAAACAGUUUCUUAAGAGCAGUAUAUAUAUAUAUCCUUCAGAAGAAUUAAGGAGAUGGCAGACGAGGGAACAGCUACUUGCAUAGACAUCUUGUUGGCCAUCAUCUUGCCUCCUCUUGGUGUCUUCCUCAAGUUUGGCUGCGGGGUGGAGUUUUGGAUCUGCUUGCUUCUCACCCUCUUUGGCUACCUCCCUGGCAUUAUUUAUGCUGUCUACGCCAUCACCAAGUGAAGAUCCUGAUCUUAUCUGUUGUGGAGAGGCACAUAACCGCUUGAUUCAAUGAAAAGUCCCUUGUUGGUGUACAUCAAUACUUGGAUUUAUUCUUCUUAAUCUCUUCAUAGUUGUGUCUUUUUUUUUCCUUAAUUAAGCAAGAAAUGAUUUGUUGUGAAGGAGCUUAGCAAUUGUUGUUGAGUGACAUUAAUUUGUGAGUAUGGGUACUUAAGGCCGUAAUGGAUGAUUAGUGUUCUUGUUAAGCAGUAUCUUUCCCUCU